UCACUGACUAUUAGACUACCCGCGUACGCCCAGCCGUAAACAAUGUGCGUUAGGUGUGUCGGUAACCACGCGUUACUGAUGCGCCGAAGAGAAAUCGUGAAACGCACCACCUGGGAAGUACGGUCGCAAGGCUGAAACUUAAAGGAAUUGGCGGGGAGCACCACAACAGGUGGAGCCUGCGGUUUAAUUGGAUUCAACGCCGGACAUCUCACCGGAUAAGACAGCUGAAUGAUUGUCAAUCUGAAGGUUUUACAUGACUAGCUG
Molecule: ribosomal RNA, 264 nt
Filed under: uncultured archaeon
Lineage: Archaea
Description: partial 16S ribosomal RNA
Rfam family: Archaeal small subunit ribosomal RNA
Source: RNAcentral